UCAAAUUUGACCCGCAAACACUUAGGGUGUGAACCCUUUUUGAACACAAUAGGAGGGUUAGGUGACUAUUUACAGCAGCAGUAUGGUUUAUGCAGGAUUGACUCAAAAUAAACUACAGUGCCCAUGUUCAUGGUAAUGUAGGAAGAUUUCAGUCAGUGGAGUGAUGAUGAUUUGUUUGGUUUCCUUUGCCUGUUCUGCCUCUGUCCCUGCCUUCAGCCCCACACUCUCUCCUCCCUUGGUUUUACUGUUCUCUACCUGUCCACCAGAUACCCCCGGACUUUCUUGCUUGGUUCCCACACCCACCUGCUCACCUGUUGCCACUAACCAAUUAUGCUCACCAGCUGCUCAUUACCUUAUCAGUCCCAGAAGCUUAUAUACCAGUCCUCUGGCAUGCAUUCCCUGCUAGAUUGUCAAUGUUGCUGUGUGUCUUUGAAUUCAAGCCAUCCUCUUACCUGUUCCUGAUUUCCCUGCCUCACCCCUAUGUUUUUGCCUAUGAGCACCCUCUGUUGGCGGUCCUCCUCUUGGAAAAGUGGCACCAGCUUCUUAUCUAGAGGAGACCAGGCAAUAGUGAGAAUACGCACAUAAAAGAGACGUUUGAAGAAACCUUUGAUGCUGCAUCUACGCUAGACUGAACACUUCAGGUAGCCUCAGCUCCAGUGGGAGGCAGACCUACUUCUUUGUGUUCUCUUCCAUGUGAUUCAUGUGGCUGGACGGUCUCCUCUCGGACCUCUGAAACAAGCAACACCAUCAUGGGAGGGCUGAAAAUAUGCUGCCAUUGUUUGAUCAAGACCCACAGAUAUGCGUGGGACAAUUGGCACAAGUCAGCGAGAAGAAAUUUGAGAGCCGAACAGAGUUGAGGGAAGAAUUUGGCUUUGUGCAUUAGUGAUGUAAGCAGCUGAGAAACCAAGCACAGAAGGGGACAUAAAAAGGCAAAA
Molecule: long non-coding RNA, 935 nt
Organism: Thunnus maccoyii (southern bluefin tuna)
Lineage: Eukaryota; Metazoa; Chordata; Actinopteri; Scombriformes; Scombridae
Exons: 4
Source: RefSeq, a predicted model, not a curated record